This is a long non-coding RNA of Gavialis gangeticus (Gharial), 358 nucleotides long. RefSeq lists it as uncharacterized. The transcript is spliced from 3 exons. Lineage: Eukaryota; Metazoa; Chordata; Crocodylia; Gavialidae. The record is from RefSeq and is a predicted model, not a curated record.
AAAUGUAUCUACGCUGAGCGUAUGGAUGGAUGACGCAUCUGCAUCGGUAUAAAAUGGAAAGGACAGACCACAUCAACCUUUAGAUAAGGCCUGCAGUUGUGAGACAAUUUUGCCACAGCAUAAGGCAAAUGAAGAACUUCAGAGGACUGAGGCACUAGAUUCAGCUACCCAGGGUGCAGCACAGGAAGGAUUCUUUGCAGAAACUACAGAAGCUGGUGGUAGAGCUCAAAUAAAUCAGCUUGGAGGCUGCUGUUCUGGAUGCUUUCCUGAAGGAAAGACCAAUUUCAAUGGUCUACUGACAUUUGAAUUUAUACUAUUUUGAAUGCAAAAUAGAUACUAAAUUCAAGAUUCUGGAAAA